AGAAGGUUGUGAUGAUGCUAAGCAAGAGCUUGAGGAGGUCGUUGAGUACCUAAAAAAUCCUUCCAAGUUCACUCGGCUUGGAGGAAAGUUGCCGAAGGGAAUUCUCUUGACUGGAGCACCUGGAACAGGAAAAACUCUCCUUGCCAAGGCUAUCGCUGGGGAAGCAGGGGUGCCUUUCUUUUAUAAGGCAGGCUCCGAAUUUGAAGAAAUGUUUGUAGGA
This 220-nucleotide unclassified non-coding RNA is filed under the name Hevea brasiliensis (rubber tree). Lineage: Eukaryota; Viridiplantae; Streptophyta; Magnoliopsida; Malpighiales; Euphorbiaceae. The record is from RNAcentral.